UGUGGGAGGGGGCUUGCUCCCGAUAGCGGUGGGUCAGCCAAAGAUCAGUUGGCUGGUCUACUGCCAUCGGGAGCAAGCCCCCUCCCACA
This 89-nucleotide unclassified non-coding RNA is filed under the name Pseudomonas sp. OV546. Lineage: Bacteria; Pseudomonadati; Pseudomonadota; Gammaproteobacteria; Pseudomonadales; Pseudomonadaceae. The record is from RNAcentral.